RNAcentral lists this long non-coding RNA (416 nucleotides) under Cicer arietinum (chickpea). RNAcentral's name for it is "long non-coding RNA (CARI_LNC002234)". Lineage: Eukaryota; Viridiplantae; Streptophyta; Magnoliopsida; Fabales; Fabaceae. The record is from RNAcentral.
UUGUUACUUGGCUUCUCCCAUAAUUUAAUCUUUGAGGCGAGUAUUUAUUAUCAUAAUUAUUACCUAAGACUCAACAUUAUUUGCAAGUGAAAAUGACAAAAUAAAAGAAAGGGAAGACAGAGGAGACAAUCCAAAAUGAGUUUAAAAAUCAGAUACUCAAUAUAUUAAGCACAUACGCAAUACAUCACAUGGUCCCUACCACACUCUUAAAUCCUUCAACAGUUGCAACUGAAACAGCCAAAACAUGUAAUAAAAAAAGAGAGUAGCUGGAUUAAUUAUUAAACAUCAAUUAUCACUCACUAUCGUGCUCAAAUUACAAAUGCUUAAUAAGACUAAUACUUGAUGGACACGGCGCAAUUGGGUUUGUAAUUGUGGUAUCAAUCCAAAGGUAUAAAGGAGGUGGCUCAAGUCUCGAC